Molecule: long non-coding RNA, 158 nt
Organism: Hibiscus syriacus
Lineage: Eukaryota; Viridiplantae; Streptophyta; Magnoliopsida; Malvales; Malvaceae
Exons: 3
Source: RefSeq, a predicted model, not a curated record
AAAAUUCUAAGGGAGGACGACGAUUCCGUUGGAUACGGCGAUGCUCUCAUCGCACUUCUACCUUCUUUUCCCGGGAUAAAGAAGCUGCAGUAGAUGAUUCGAUAAUUUCGCUCGUUAUCAACUGGUUUGUCGCAGAUGUAAGCUUUGUGUCCUCAUUA